AAGGCGUAGUCGAUGGACAGCAGGUUGAUAUUCCUGCACUUAUGCAUAUCAGAACUGUGGGGACGCAGGCAAAAGGAGUGAGCCGGGAAAGGAAAGCCCGGUCCCGCAAGGGGGAACGAACUAAAGUAGUGAAGCACUAGAUAUGACUGCCAAGAAAAGCCACUAUUGCGUAUGUAUAACCCGUACCGUAAACCGACACAGGUGGAUGAGGAGAGAAUCCUAAGGCCGACGGGAGAAGCAUUGUUAAGGAACUCGGCAAAAUGUCCCCGUAACUUCGGGAUAAGGGGAGCCCACCUAAGACGUGGGCCGCAGAGAAGAGGCUCAAGCAACUGUUUAGCAAAAACACAGGUCUAUGCGAAACCGAAAGGUGAAGUAUAUGGGCUGACGCCUGCCCGGUGCUGGAAGGUUAAGAGGAGAGGUUAGCGCAAGCGAAGCUUUGAAUUUAAGCCCCAGUAAACGGCGGCCGUAACUAUAACGGUCCUAAGGUAGCGAAAUUCCUUGUCGGGUAAGUUCCGACCCGCACGAAAGGCGUAAUGAUUUGAGCACUGUCUCGGCAAUGCACCCGGUGAAAUUGAAGUACCAGUGAAGAUGCUGGUUACCCGCGCCAGGACGGAAAGACCCCAUGGAGCUUUACUCCAGGUUGAUACUGGGAGCCGGUAUUAUAUGUACAGGAUAGGUGGGAGACUAAGAAGCUGUGACGUCAGUUGCAGUGGAGUCGCUGUUGGGAUACCACCCUUAUGAUGCUGGUUUUCUAACCAAGGACCAUUAUCUGGUCCGGGGACAAUGUCUGCCGGGGAGUUUGACUGGGGCGGUCGCCUCCGAAAGGGUAUCGGAGGCGCUCAAAGGUUCCUUCAGAAUGGACGGAAACCAUUCGCAGAGUGCAAAGGCAUAAGGGAGCCUGACUGUGACACCGACGGGUGGAACAGAUACGAAAGUAGGACUUAGUGAUCCGGUGGUAUGAAAGUGGGAUUGCCAUCGCUCAACGGAUAAAAGCUACCCUGGGGAUAACAGGCUUAUCACUCCCAAGAGUUCACAUCGACGGAGUGGUUUGGCACCUCGAUGUCGGCUCAUCGCAUCCUGGGGCUGUAGCAGGUCCCAAGGGUUGGGCUGUUCGCCCAUUAAAGCGGUACGCGAGCUGGGUUCAGAACGUCGUGAGACAGUUCGGUCCCUAUCCGGCG
RNAcentral lists this ribosomal RNA (1178 nucleotides) under Butyrivibrio sp. NC2007. Its description in RNAcentral is "bacterial LSU rRNA". It matches the Rfam family "Bacterial large subunit ribosomal RNA", at positions 1406 to 2647 of the family's 2925-position model. Lineage: Bacteria; Bacillati; Bacillota; Clostridia; Lachnospirales; Lachnospiraceae. The record is from RNAcentral.